This is a long non-coding RNA of Gadus chalcogrammus (walleye pollock), 889 nucleotides long. RefSeq lists it as uncharacterized. Lineage: Eukaryota; Metazoa; Chordata; Actinopteri; Gadiformes; Gadidae. The transcript has 4 exons. The record is from RefSeq and is a predicted model, not a curated record.
GGUUGUGCUGAACACGUGACUCUGAAGCCACGUCCACUCCUCUCUGUCAUAGAAUCAGAAGAAUAAGUUACGGUCAACAGCAUACGCGUUCAUUUUUUAGAUUUUCAAUUCAAAUCUCACAAUCUAACAUUUUAUUUGAAUGCCGUGGAGAGGGUGUGGUUGAUGGCUGGUUUAAGCAGCCUCAGGUGGCUUAAAUCAGGUUGAUUGUAUUCUGGAGCUGGGUGAGGCAGAACACCUUGGGUGCACUUGAUAAUCAUUGCACACAGGUUAAACCAGCCAUCACCACACACACUUGAUAGAGCUAGACCUAGCUGGAGUGUGAAAGUCACAGUAUAGCAGGGACGACUGACGCAAAUACAAAAUGUUGCAAAUCUGAGCUGUUGGAGAUGAAGGCUGGGCAGCCUCUGGGGAACCAGGACUCUGAUCUGGUCCACGGAGCUGCAGAGCUUCAGGAUGCCCACGUAGAGACCCGCCUGAGGCCGCUGGAGACUGUGUCUGUGGUGUACGACUCUAUGUACCUGUAGCUGGGCGACGGCUCGGAGGAUGUUGUUGCGGUUCUGGAUGAGGGAGGAGGGGGAGGAGUGGGCGGAGGACAGGGCCGCCUGGAGCCAGGGCACCUGCCUCCAUGCACACGACAGCUGGGGAACACCAACCACAUGGAGGCGGACGAACUUGGUGGCGGACUGGAAGAGCUGCUUGAUGCCCCGGGACACUGACCGGCGCUUGCUGGGACCCUCUGGCGUAGAACUCUCUGGAGGAGAGAAGACAGCAUUACCUAGCAACCGCAUCAGCAACACCAUCACACGGCUGCUUCCAAAGGAGUGCAGCGUGACCUAGCAACCGCUUCAGCAUCAACUCAAGGCUGCUUCCCGAGAAUCACAGAACGCGC